Molecule: RNA transcript, 12643 nt
Organism: Anopheles gambiae (African malaria mosquito)
Lineage: Eukaryota; Metazoa; Arthropoda; Insecta; Diptera; Culicidae
Gene: Nuak1
Exons: 13
Source: RefSeq, a predicted model, not a curated record
CAUCAACUCACCCCCGCGCGCGCACACACAGUAACAGGCGCUAGGGAGGGGAGCGGGAGGGGUGCGAGGAGGACGAUUCUCGCCUUGCUCCGGUGCUUUGCUACGAUUUGGGAGUUUUCAGUCCACUUCACACAUCCAUCGGAAAAGGGGCCCUUGUGCGUGCGUGUACACACGUGCGUCCGUGCGUGCGUGAGUGUUCCCAUCGCGUUGCUUGCUUCCGUUUGGCUCUGCUCGGCUUCAGUUGCAUACCUCUGCAUACGGUAGAAAAAAAGCAAAACAAAAUUUUAGCACUAAGAAAACGGGAACCGCUUAACUAAAGAACGUAAAAUUUGUACAUUGUUUGUUUGCCUGUCCUGUAUACAAGCGUUCCUUCCUUCCGUACGGUGUGUGGCCUGAUAUUUAUGAAACAGAACGCAACGCCACACGCUGUAGUGUUUUCUCGCCACCGUCGCCGAAAAUUUCGCAUAAAAAACCACAAUUAGGUAGUGGUGGAAGCUGUACCACGCAAUACCACGGCAAAAGAGGAGUGCGGGAGCGGAAAAAUUGUGCACGUUUCCUACCGUAAUAACGUGUGUGCGCGCGUGUGUUUGAAUGUGUGUAAAGUGUGUGACGUGACUGUGUUAGUGGGUGUGAUUUAUAGAGACUGAAAACUCACAGCAGCAAACAACACACACACACACUCGCAACAAAAUGGUGAUAGGCGAGCAGGUGGAAGGUGGCGAGGCGAUGCCUCCCUCGCCCCAACAGUUCCCGCCACAGAAGGCCACGAUAGAGAACAUCAUGAGCGGCAUAGAGAACACCGGUGCGGUCAAGAUGAACAAUCAUAGGAAAAAGCUGCGCCAGAGAUUUGACAUAAUAAAAAAGCUCGGCCAGGGCACGUACGGUAAGGUGCAGCUCGGCAUCAACAAGGAAACGGGACAGGAGGUGGCCAUCAAGACGAUCAAGAAGAGCAAGAUAGAAACGGAAGCAGAUCUCAUUCGGAUACGGCGCGAGGUACAGAUUAUGAGCUCCGUCCAGCAUCCCAACAUAAUACACAUUUACGAAGUAUUUGAAAACCGCGAAAAGAUGGUGCUAGUCAUGGAGUUUGCGGCCGGGGGCGAGCUGUACGACUACCUGUCCGAGCGCAAGGUGCUGGCGGAGGAGGAAGCGCGCCGCAUCUUUCGCCAGGUGUCGACCGCGAUCUACUACUGCCACAAGCACAAAAUUUGCCAUCGCGACCUGAAGCUCGAGAACAUCCUGCUGGACGAGCACGGCAACGCGAAGAUCGCCGACUUCGGCCUGUCGAACGUGUUCGACGAGCAGCGGCUGCUGGCCACCUUCUGCGGGUCGCCGCUGUACGCGUCGCCCGAGAUCGUCAAGGGCACGCCGUACCAGGGACCGGAGGUGGACUGCUGGUCCCUGGGCGUCCUGCUCUACACGCUCGUCUACGGCGCGAUGCCGUUCGACGGCGCCAACUUCAAGCGGCUGGUGAAGCAGAUCAGCCAGGGCGACUACUUCGAGCCGAAGAAGCCGUCCCGUGCGUCGCCGCUGAUCCGCGAGAUGCUGACCGUGUGUCCGUCGCACCGGGCCAACAUCGAGCAGAUCUGCAACCACUGGUGGGUGAACGAGGGCUACGAGGAGUCGUGUCUGGAUCUGGCGGAAGAGCUCGCCAACCAGACGCCGGUCCGGCUGGAUGUGCUGCUGUCGCUCGCGCCACCGUCGGUUACCGCCGACCAGCUGCUCGUUGGCAAUGGGCAGGAGGACGCGAAGGCGAAGGAUCGCAUCCAGCGCAGCCACUCGAUGGGUUCGAUCGUCGAGAUGGGCGGCACGGAGGCGGAACGGCGCAUUCUCGAUAUGGUGGCGGCGGGCGGUGAGGCGGCCCUGAUGCCGUCGCCCACGCGCACCAUCACACCGGCAGAGGCGGCGACGGCGGCCGGUGUCGGCAGCCCGCAGGCCCAGACGAAGCGCAAGCUCGAGACGACGGUUUCGACGGAGAAUGCAACAGGCGCGGUAAAGAAGAAGGAUAAGGCGGACCCACCGUCCCCGGCCCAGGCCCGCAUCCCUGAGGACAUGGACGUGGAGGAAGCGGCCGUGGCGGGUACGCCAACGCAAGCAGCUGCAGACGAGCAGGCGGCCGAACCGGUCCAACCGACGGCGCAGGAGGAGGCCACCAAACCCACCGACUCGGCGGCACAACCGAACGAGAGCAAGUUCGAGGCGCAGGAAGUGCUGGAAGACCUGCAAAACCUGGAAAACAUGUGCGACGAGCUGUUGCUGGAGGCGGCCCACACCCAACCACCGCCGUCCGAGGCCGGCGCAAACGGAGCCACCGAACCGCCACCCUCAUCGCCGCCCGUCAAAACCGUUUCGAGCGUGCGGGCGAAGCUGGAAAAGCUGGAAAAGGGUGAAAUCGGCGCGAAACCGGCCGUCCCGUCGUCGACCGCCCCCCUGCCCACGGUGCGCAAGGUGUUCGGCAAGAACAAAACGACCGAUCUCACGACCGCCAUCAACGAGGUGAACGCGCGGAAGGGCGAACCGGCACCGUUGGCCGGCAGUGCGCACCGUUCCGCCAGCAGCGUGGAGCGCAAGAACAGCCUGCCGGACGAGAGCCUGGCGCGGACGGCCGAACGGCGCAAGUCGCGCAUCCUCGAGACGGCGGAAAAGUUCCAGCAGCUAAACCAGCAGCAGCCGGGCGGCGGGGAUAAGUUUAAGAAGUUUGUCCUGCCGGGCGGCGGCGUACCGACCGUCGGCAACUACAAGAAGGAGUUCGAGCGCAAGACUGGGCUGAGCACGUCGUCGACCUUUACCAAACCGCCGGCCACCACCCCGCAGGGCGCGACCACCGGUGAAGGCGAGUCGGGCGGGUCGGCGCCAAGCACACCGCCUGCAUUUGCCGGUUCGGCCAAGAAUCUCGCAACCUACCAGCAGCAGCAGCAGCAGGGAACCGAUUCGCCACCCCUGGCCGCGACCAAAUCGGACGACGAGGUGAAGGAGAGCGAUUCGAAGAGUUCGGUCGGCAGCUUCUCGCUGGAGGACGCGCGCCGCUCGAUGGAGAACUCGAUCGCGAUGCUGAGCCGGGCGAAGCCGAACGACUCCGCACCGUCCACGCCGACCGCGAUCGAUCAACUGUGCGCGCGCACCGAGAGCGUCUCGAUGAUGGAGGACAGCGAGCGGGAGCGCAAGCUGAAGAAUGCGCGCGAAAUCAUCGGCAACGCGAUCCCGAUCGGGCGGCUGCGCAAGCCGCCGAUGCCGUUCGGUGCGAACGGCCGCUCGACGACCGGGACGCUCGGCAUCAACAAGCCGUACCGCAUGGGUUCGGAAACGCCCGAGCCGCGCUGCGACACGAUGUCCAUCCCGAGAAAAGUAUCGAUCGGAAGCAUCCCGAGCCCGCCCAAGGACGAGACAAAAACGUCGCACGCCGAAAUCACGCUCAAGUCGGCCACGCUGCCACGGCGAAAGCUGUCCAAACCGCUCGAACUGCAAGGCGAUGCACAAUCGAAGCCGGACCACCGUAUGCAGUCACCGCUGCAGCCACCCGCCUUCGCGCCGAUGCGCUUCUCCACCGAGGUGCAGCACCAGAUGCCGGAUCUGCGCAGUGCGCCGGUCGGGCGCGAACAUCCGCCCGCCUUCGCACCGAUGGCCCACCAGCACCAGCAGCAUCUGCACCAUCGGGCCAACAGUCUGGAGCCGCAGGGCAAGGAGCAGCCGGCCGGCGCGGGUCCGCAAAAACCGCCCACAUAUCAACGGACGGCGUCCGGUGCGUACGGUGGCGUUCCAUCGCCUGCCCAGCUCGGUCGCGCAUCGCUGUCGCGCCAGUCGACGAACGAGUCGAACGACUCGGACAACACGCUCUCGCAGGGUCCGAUGUCGACGAACGCGUCCGGCCUAAUGUCCGGCACGGUCAGCACCAGCGGCAGCACCACGAUGCCGAUCAAGAAGAGCCCCCGGGAGUACAUCAUACCGAUCGCGGUCGAGGGCGGUGGUAUUGUGACGCCGCGUGCCAACAGCCUGGAGCCGUCCGAAUCGAACGCGUCCUCGACCGGUGUGUCCGGGGCGGCCGGUGCUGGGUUCGGUAUGAAGCCGCGCCUUGGCCGACCGCGCCGUUUGGGCUCCCUGCUGUCGGAGCAUGACGGUGAGCCGGGCGAGAUUACGUCCUUCCCACGACUGAACAGGCAUACCUCGCUGGGACGUGAGAGUGAUACCGAGGAGCCGAAAUUCCACAUGAUGCAUCGGCUCAGGAGCACACGACCAUCGAAGAGGGGCACGGCAGACCCGAACGAUUCGGCCAGCUCGGGCGAGGAGGACGACGACGAUGGUUUUGAAAUACUGACGGCGGAAAACCUGUUCUCCACGCUGCUGUCUCGCGUUCGUGCACUAACCAAUCGUCUGAAUGUGAACGAUGUCAACUCACCGCGCUUCCCGGCGUCACGCUUCAUGAGCAAUCUGCGCCAAACGCAGGCACCGUUCUGGCAUCAUCAGGAUCCGUUCGGCAGGAAUCUCGCCGACGGUGGCAGUGCGGCCAACGCCUGGCGGCACAGCAUGUCCCGGGACCUGAGCACGGACAUCGAUUCAAUGUUUUCGCGUAGCGGAGCCACACUUCCAAGAGGCACUAGACUCAGAACACAAAGUAAUCAUGUAACGAAUAGUAAUAACAGCAACAACAGCAACCAAAACCACUACCAUCAUCCCCAUCAUCAGCAACCGCCACCAGUGCCACCAAACAGCAGCAGCAACAGCAUCCGCAGUAGUUAUAACAAUAGAUAUAGCUAUCAUCAUCAACCCGCCUCAUCUAACCCUGCCCCCAGCUCCACCUCCUCCUUCUACAAGGAUCUGGCAUCCUUGGCCGCGUACGGUGCGAACGGUACUGGCGGGGCGGCCGGUAGUGACAGUCGCGACGUCAGCCUCUCCAGCGGUACCGGUGGUGGUGGUGGUGGUGGUGGAGCGGGCAGCAACGAUGACGAAAGCAGCAUAUCCAGCACACUCAGCACCAAUGGCAACGGGUACCGCCAUCAGCCACUGGCCGCGACGAUGACCGGCGGCGGUAAUGGUGACCUCGGCGACCCGGGCACGGGCGAGGAAAAUCUCGAUCUGCGCGAUCUCGAUCUGUCGCAGCUGCGACUGUCGAAGCGCGAUCUGGAAACGCUGUCCAGCAUAACGCCCGCCCUGUCCCAGCGCGUGCAGGAGCAACUGUUGGCGCAGCUUCCCCCCCAGCAGGCCCGCAAACUGUCCCGCACACUGUCCAUGCAGGGCGGUGGAGGAGGCACAGGGGCCGGUUCGUUGCCAACGGGUGCAGCGGCGGCUAACCAGCGACUGUACAGGCGAAGCUACAGCAACAGCUCGGGUAAUCGAUCGCUCGAUGCAACGGCCGACUACGGAGCGACGAGCGGCGGCGUCGGUGAGUUCAGCCGUCGCCGGGCAGGGAGUCAGCCGCGCGACAUCCUGUCGCCCCCGCCGGCCUACCAAACGUCAGCGCCACUGUACGAGAAGUACGCCCCGUACGGUACGAGCAUUCCAGCGGCCGGUGCCGACUCCUCGUCCGGUAUGUCCUCGUUUGUGCGCGACUACGACAGCAACACACGGAAGGCGCUCUCACCACACACCACCACCACCACAUUGACACGUGCUACCGGGUCCGCUCUCACUACAAGCACAACCACAACACCACCACCACCACCAUCAACUCUCCGUUACACCAGCAGCAGUGCGGGUGGCGAGACGACCGCUGCGCCGACCAAGCGCUUGUCCCGGUUUCUGCGGCCCGACUUCUUCGACACGCCGCCGAAAGAGCGGGACGCACCAACCGAUCCGCCCGAGCGGGACGCUCGCACCUCCCCGUACGGUGGAUCGGGCGGAUCGGGGGUGACGUUGCGCGAGGGUGCCACCGGUAGGCAGCAGCGGCGCGAAAAGCUGGCCAACGAUACGAUCACCGAUCGGUUGAGCUACUUCCUGGAGAAGUACGGCAAACCGGACGACGACGGAGGGGUGACACCGAUCGGCGAUCGGGGCAGGCGUAGCGUUUCGCGUUCGCGCGACCUCGAGCCGGAAGGUGCGGCGAGCCAGCCGGAACAGCGGUACCGGACGCCGGAGGAGACACUGUCGAUACUGCAGGAGCAGCUGCAAGAUCUCACCAACAUGACCUCGCUGGCAGCUGGCAGUCAGAUGUCGAAGCUGUUGAGCGGUGGAGGCGGUGGCGAUGCCAUCGUGACAUCGAACGGGCCAGGGACUGGCGAAUGCCAGCUGCCUGGAUGCACAGAGUGUGAGGGAAAGCAGGAUGGGAAAGCUGCCCAGGUGGCAAACGAAUCUAGCGAAACGAAAGGUACUUCCGGCACUGUUGCAACAGAAUCGGCAGCUGCAGCAGGUCCAACGAAAAAGAUAGUAAAGGUAAAGAAGGUCAAGGUAGUGAAGAAGACAACGACAGGGGCGGAAAAUGGAGUCACAACAGCGGGAGGUGACGGUGAAGCUGCCGCCACCACGUCGGUGGUGAAGAAGGUUAAAAAAGUGGACUCAACUCCAACGGACGCGUCGGAAGGCUCCAACCCCACUGUGCCAGUGGUUAAAAAGGAAUCCAAACUAAUGCGCCCCAAGUCUUAUCCCUACAAGGAGCCGGGACAGGAAGUUGCCAAGCUGUCCGUGGGUGGUGACAUUGCGCUUGAGGUGAAUGGGAAAGCAGGUGCUAAUGCUGCAACUUCCCCUGCAAACGUGACACAAGAUCCCUCGACCGAGACCCAAACGACCCAAACGGCAGCUGUGAACGGCACAGCGAGUGUGAGUACGGCGGCGAGUAAACUGGCACGCCCAAAGAGUUUCCCCUCGUCCAAGCUAACGCCACCGAAGGAACUGAAGCUGCUGAAAUCCCCCGCCAGCAGUGAGCGGGAUGCUGCCAGUGAGCAGAAGGCGCCACCAACGUCAAAAGCCGAACCUGCCACCAACGGAACGCUGGGUGCUCCGGUGCAAGAGGUGGACGGACCAUCGGCCGCCACCAGUCCGCCCAAGAGGGUGAAGAAAGUUAUUCGCAUCGUGAAGAAGGUUACCAAAACGACCGAUGCCAACGGGAAGGUGGUCAUUACCACCACCACGAUGCCGGCCGAUGGAGCCGCCGGACCGGUGAAAACUACCAAAGAAACGGUCGGCAAAACCGUUACCAUCAAGGAGCAGGGUACGGCGGGAACUGCAGCAGAUGCCGGCGAGAAGCAAUCAAAGGAGAAAUCAAAAUCACCCGAAAAGAAACCAAAGCAGGGCUUUCUGGCCAGCAUCGGGCAGCGGUUUGAGAAGUUCCGCGACACCAGCAAGAGCAGCAAGGAAAAGAAAGCAGCGGCAGCAGCGGCAGCAGCCUCCGCCACGACGACCUCCACCACAUCAGGAGAAACCCUGCCCGAUACGGCCGUCCCGGUGAUGGUGCCCGGCACUACGCAGAUCGUGGACGGCGUUACGCCGGACGUGCUGGUAGGCAAACCCACCGAGACGGCCAACGCGUCCAAGAAGGAUAAAAAGAAGGGUGGCAAAGCGGCGGGCACCACCGAGGACAAGACGCCAGCCGAUGGCAGCUCCAGCACCAUCGCGAAGAGUGCCACCGGAGGAGCAGACCAGAAGCAGGCCCGCAAGUCACGCAUCGACACGGUGAUCAGGAAUUUGCGCGAGCUGUCCGCCGGACCGAAGCUGCCGGAGGUAACCGAGUCGAAGCUGAUCAAGCGCGCCGUCAGCGUGGAGGAGAUGCCGGGCACGUUCAAUCGCUGCGGCGUCACCAAGGUACUGGGGCUGUUCAAGAAAAUUGAGAAAGAUUCACGCAAUAACCACCAUCAUCACCGUCUUCUUAAUACCAAGUCAUCUAGCCACAUCCUGAUGGGGGGCCGAACGGCGAUGGACGACGGCGACCACCCGACGGUGACGAUGCCCGACCUGAUGAUGCAGCAGCCGAUCGAGGCGGGUCAGGCCCGGAUGCGCAACACCAACUCGCUGCUGCCCUCGUUGUCGCGCAAAAAGCCGUACGGUGGGGCAAGAAGCGACACCGUGCUGGCGCACCAGCUCGACGGUCUGCUAGCGAACGGUGGUGACGCUCUGGACGGUGGAGGUGAUUUCGAGCAGCGUAAGUUUAAGGUGAUGCCACAGCCCGGUCCGCACCAGUCGCAGAUACCGGUCAAGUACGGCUGUCCCGGUUGCGAUGCGGUGGGCACUGGCGGCAACAGCAGCACCACCACCACCGCUACCACCGAUACCGGAGGCAGCAGCAGCAAUGGCAACAACAAUGGCGUCGCCAACGGAGCGCCAGAAGCGUGUCUGACGCACGCGCAAACCACCACCGCCGUCGGGACGGGUAGUAGUAGUGGCGCGUGCAGUGUGCACGUGCAGCGGCCUCCUCCACCGCAAGACACGGACCGGAGGGGCCGGGCCCGGGCGCUUACCAUCGACCUGGAGCAGGCCGUACACUCCGCGACGGAAAAGUUGAAGCGCCUGCAGCAGGCCAACAGCAUUCAUCUCAGUAACAUCCCGACACAGCAACCGCUACUACCCCAUGGUCACCAUAGUAACCACAACAACAACAACUACAUCAAAAACCCUAGCAAAACUAGCUUAAGCGCUUGCACUACUAAGAUCCCCUCCAGUCACACCAACCACACUGCAAACGGUAGCGUACACAACAACAACAACAACAACACUAGUAGCGGCAUGGCACAGGCGGCGGCACCUGCCGGUGGCAAUAACAACUACAGCUAUCCGCCCCCACUCCCCAGCGAAAUGGCGGCCGGGACGGCGGCCACCUCGCCGUGCGGGUAUAGCAACAACAUCAACAACAACAACAACAACAGCCUCUCCCAUCACUACAGCACACUGACACCGUCGUACGAUAGCAUUACCAACUACUCGUCUGGUUCGCGAAGUAGCCCGUACGACGACAACUCCUCCAGCACGUUCCUAUCGCCGUCGGAGGAGCGCGAACUGUACUUCGACAGCUGGUCGGUCUGCUCGGACGAGCUGAUGGGGCACGGCGACGGCACCGGGAUGGGUGGUGGUCACCCGCUCCAUUCCUCGUCCGUGUCGCCCGCGUCCCGGCGCCACUCCUCGGUGCGGCUACUUACCCCGAACCAACCGCUACUACACUCUGUCUCCUCCCCAGUAGAUCCGGACGCGGAGAGCGUCAUCGAGCGCAUCCGGCGCAAGAGCUUCUACACCCGGUUCAACGACACGAAGAAGCCGGCCAAGCGGGCCUCCGCCAGCAGUCUGGGGGGCGGGCUUGGCAGCGGUAGCAACCUUACGGCCGCCGGCCACGCCAAGGACAGCGCCAGCUACGGGUACUACGGGGCGGGCAGUGGCACUGCGGCGGUGCGCGAAAAGUCCCUGUCGCGCGGCGGCUCCUCCUCCUACAUUCUGAACCGCCCGGGCAAGGAGUCGGCGUCCUACGGUGUCGGUGUGGGUAAGUACGACACGGCAGGCUAUGCGACGGUCGGCCGUACCGACCAUCGGGGGUACGCGACGAUGGUGAACCUUGGCGUGAAGCCGAACCGAAGCGCGGCCCGGCUGCGCCAGAGCAGCCUGGACGUGGUGGCGGGCGACUAUCAACAGCACCAACAGCCAUCACACUACCACCAUCACCACCAUCACCACCACCACCAUCCCCAACAACAACAACAGUCUACGUUGGCGGGACUGUCCCGUACCGGGUCGCGGCUACUAACCACCGACGACGGUGAUUCCCUGACCGACGGUUUAACCUACACCAACCUACUGAACAACAACAACAACAGUAGCAACAACACUACCAGCAACCACAAAUACACACGCAACACCUACUACGAAAGUACGGCCGUGCCGUCGCCGUACGGAACGUACGCACCGAGACGUCGGUCCUCGUUUGUGGCCGCCGGGUACGGAUCGUCUAACAUCGCUUCAUCCUCUUCAUCGAUUGCGCUAGAUCUGCUCAAGGACCACCACCAGGGGCCCCGGGAUGGGUCGGCGAGCUACGGCAAUCUGGCCACGACUGGGUCGUCCUCCUCCACCAACACACUGUCCGCGUCGGAUAACUAUGGAAGCGGCGGCGGCGGCGGUGGCGGCGGAAGCAGCAACACCACCACCUCCACGGCAGCAUCCCGCACCAUCCGGCCGUACGAGACGAGAAGCAGCUCGCUGCUCACUCCGACGGCGCUGCGCGAUGCGGGACGUUACACCGGCCGGUACGAUAGUGGUACACUGACCAACCCAUCCCGCCAUCGUUCCACCCUCUAUCGAAGCUUCAUGAUGAGCCUGAAGCUUGCCUAAGGCCAGCCUCCGGCGCAGACCGUCUGCUGCCGCUGGCGCUUUCCUUCGUUUCCCUUCUUUUUCUCCUUCUGUUUUGCUGCCAUUGCUGGUCGCCCUAGAAACUAUCGCACACGGACCUCGUCAACGUCUAAAUCAACCGACAAUGCAUAAAGCGUAGUGGGAGGGAAUGGGUGAAAGGAUUCAAACAGUUGUCGCAACAGCAACACAUAUAUACCAAUUAGUGUAGAUCCUUCCUUAGCCAGGGUGGUGCCACUUUACUUCUCCAACGCUCCAAUGGAAUAUAUAUAAAUGGGUAUAUGUGUGUGUGUGUGAUCCUGGCUUGCAACCAAAAGAAGAAACCAAAAACCCAAACCAGCAAGAAAAAUAGCAAGCAGCGAUAAACUUUACUGGUUAUUUUAGAUGAACGUUAUAGACUAGAAACCAUUGCAUUUAGGCCAAAAAAACAUACACGCAUACGCGUUAGUGAAUUGUUACAGCAGAGAAUGCCAAACCCGCCAAAACCCGCCAAACGUUGAUCAAACACGAAUAGCGUUAUGUAAAAGGGCUACAAACUUCUUGUAAGAAGAAAGAUAGCGAGUGAAAAGGAGAGAAAAUGAGAGAGAGAAAGAGCAGUAAUAAUGUAACACCAUUUGAACCGGAGACUUUUAACGUGUAUAUUUAAACAAAUGGGUUUUUAUCCGAUCCUCAUGCUCCAUUUCACACCAAUUGUGUGUGCGUGUCUCCUUAUUGGGAGCAGUACAAUUCCGGUGAUCCGGAGCUUCCGUGGAGUAAGAAGGGCACUAAUGUUACCGUGACGGUAUCACCACUGACUCAACCCACCGGCAGACCAUCAGGGCUCAAGAGAAGAACCGAAGAAAAAACCGUGGAACACCAUGCGAUCACCAUGCGUCUCCAUGGAGCAUCGAUCAUGCCGCCACCGUUUCUUGCAUCUCUACGCUGUAUUAUUUUUUCGGUUUCCAUUUUCCGGGGGUCCAUCCUCACCUUUCGGGGGAAUUAAAGUGUAGCAAAUAACAACACAGUGAAGCAGAAAAUCCCGCUCGCGUUCGCUCACAGACUCUGCGCAUCACCGCCACGUGGUGUGGUGAUCAUCCUUUGCGUCACGAUCUGAGCCCGUCGCUUGGUCGGGAUUUUCUCUCACGCAUACACACACACUCUUACGGGAAGGAUUAUUGUUAUGAGCAGCUUCGUUAGUGCGGGUAAAAGAUCAGGGUAGACACGUGUACGAGACAGAAAGUCACAAGCAAUAGUCACACGGAACUGAGACGGGGAAAAAUCGAAGAGAGCUGUUAAAAAUGUGUGUGCCAUCGAAUCGAAUUUUAAGCAGCCGGGGCAAAGGGGGGGAAUCGGGAUACUCUCCCAAACUGUCGACCUCGGUUUGUUCGUUUUUUUUUUUUAUUUAAAUUAGCAAAUUAAUCAAAAUCGGAACACGCUUCAAGCAGGUGUUUACAAUAAAACCAGCACGGUGCGGGUAGCAAAGAGCGGGAAAAAAGCAUUGGGAAGAUACGGUGUGUACUGUUUGUGUGCUAGCAGAAACGUUGUUAUACACUAUUUUUACAAUUUUAUGUCAAUUGUAUUUAAAAAAACAAACAAAUCAAAACUAAACAAAGCGGUUACGACACGCUCAGAGCAGAGUGGCCGAGAGACUUAUCGACCCAGUGUUAUCUCCGAGGCGAACGGCAAUAAAACAGGCAAUGCAGGAUUGUACAGUUGAAGCAGACAGUUAACGAAUAAUCGGUUUGGCGGUUUGAAAGAAGAAGAAAAAAAACAUCACCGUGUUUAGUGUUGUUGCAGAAUGUACUGUGAUGUGAAGAAAGGGGCGAAUAAUUAUCAAGUUUUUGGAUGUUUGUUGUGCGCGGGACAGAUUUAUCAGUUUGAAUUCAGUCCGUUAUCAACACAACAGGAAAGGCAACGACAGAACGCGUGAUAGAGAACAAGGAAAGGGACGGAAAGGAACAGGGACAAGUUUUUAAAAACCAUCAACCAAACCAUUGGUAGCAAAAAACCAGUACGCGCGGUUAUUUUAGCAAAUCAUUGGAUGCCAAAACUAGACGGAGUAGAAACGAAUAAAAAAAAACCAACCAAACCCACAGCAAAGAAAACCAAACAAAAAACAAUCACCCCCAACAAAAACUAGCAAUAAUUGUUGCACCGUUACCCGCGGUGUGUGCAGGAACAGAACACGUGUAUCGAGAACGGGAUGGAAGCACCGUUGCCAUGACUGCGCUGCUGUCUUCCAGCUGUACUGUCGGGCGAUCAGGAAGAACCCCAUUUAGGGGAUUGGGGGUUUGGAAUGCGAUCGGGCCCCGGUGCAGCAGGAAGCCCCAAAUACCAUCGCGUAUGCCAUCUGGUAUGCCAUUAAAUAUUGGUAGCACAGUAUUGUGAGUUUAUCAAUAAACUAGAUUCAUGGAAUGAG